This 5093-nucleotide long non-coding RNA is filed under the name Sus scrofa (pig). RNAcentral's name for it is "lncRNA (ENSSSCG00000053034.1)". Lineage: Eukaryota; Metazoa; Chordata; Mammalia; Artiodactyla; Suidae. The record is from RNAcentral.
UAUUCUUAAAAUGAGAGGCUGUUCUUGGUCGUGGUUGAGAGGGCAGGCUCUGGAAUUAAAUUGUCAUGCUUCUCGUCCCCAUUCCUGCAUUUCUAGCCAGGUGAAAAUUGGUCAAGCUUUAAAUCUCUUUGUGCCUCAGUUUUCCAAACUGUAAAACAGGGAUCAUGUCCUGACAUGGUUGUUGUGAAGCUUAAGUGGAAGAACGCAUCCAGAGCGGUCUGUGCUUAAUAUAGAUUAAAAGAGGAAGUACAAUUCUGUGUUGAAGUGAUGCAAUGUCCCAUCUCUUAUACUGUUUUAGGCUCUAUUUGAUGGAAUUUAGUAGAAUUUGAGGCUCCAUGGCGUAAGAGGCAGAGAGAGGGGUAGGGAGGGGAGUUAGAGCAGAGGAUGCACGUGGAGGGGACAGAAGAAGGUGCAGAGCUGUGCUUGCCCUUCCUGGACACAAACCCCUGAACAGACACAGGAGCUUUACGGUGCUCGGCAGCUGGCCAAGUUGCAUCGUAUACAUUUCUUUCCUUCAAUCCUCACAACGACCCCUAAGUCACAGAAAUGAGAACUGUGCCCUGGAGACAUUCUAAGACUGGCUCCUAGACAAGUGGCCAGGGACGGGCACAGGGAGGUGAGAAAGCAGAACUCCUGGACUUGGAUGGUAACGUCCUUCCUUCCAGGCAUGGUCCUUCGGUAUACAAAUGAUUAUGUUUAUAAUGACCUUGGGGCUGAAUCCCAGAGGAACUGAGGGCCACAUGCUGCUGCAGACUUGAGGGGAGGGUUUUUGCGGGGGAGGGUCUGGGGAACCUCCUGUGAUCCUCAGAGCACUAAUGCGUAGCUGUUCGGGGCUGGCCUCAACACCGCUCUGCUGGAAGGUUGUAAGCAUCUCUUAGCUCUUUCUGGCCUCUCAGUGAAGAUUGUGCUUUAUUUCUCCACAGGGCCAUUUUGGGUCAGUGUUCUCGGGGAGAAUUUGUCAGUCUUUCCCCUUCGCUAGGAAGGAAGGGAAUGAGUAUCUAUUGAAUGGUUGAACAUGUAUCACUCAAGUUAGUUCUUGAAAAGUUCAGUUUUCUCCUUAUCCUGGUGGUUCUGGUUUGCCAUUAAAAUUCCAGUGAUUGGAGAAAAUGUAGUGCAGUGCUUCAGAAUUUUAGAAAAAUUGAGAACACAAAAUUGGAAGAAUUAUUUCAUGCCAGCUCAUGAGUAGUGAUUGAAUUGAUCAUAGCAUUACAUUGAAUACAUUAUUUUUAUGAAAUCAUUUUCUACUCUCAUAAGAAAUUUGUAUGUAAUUGGUAUAAAAUAUAUGCCAAAUAAAUUUGUUUUUAUGUAUUAACAUUUUGUUUACGCAUAAUGCAAUUCUUUUUCUAUAUGCACUUUAUUUUUCAGAGAAGAGGUGACUUUUUCUUUUUUCAUUUGAAGCAACAUCUAGACCAGUUUUUCUCAUCCUUGGUACAGCUGACAUUUGUGGCAAGACAAUGCUUUGUUGUGGGUAGGCUGUCUUGUACAUUCUAGGUUGAGUAGCAGCAUCCCUGAUGUCUGCUCAGUCUUCACCAGGAGUAUCUCCUGUGCUCAGUCUUGACAUCAGAAAUGUCUCCAGACAUGGCUGGAAUUUUCCAGGAGAGCAAAGUCAUUCUUGGUUGAAAACCAUUGAUCUAGGGUUUUCAGUAUCUACUCAAACCUUCUCCCUUAUUUAACUCUAUAUUAUUCUCUAAUUUUGAAUAGAUGUUCAGAAUCACAGCAAAAAGGAGAAAAUACUUAUUUAUGGAGGCAAUAAACUGCACUCAUCAAUUGUGAAAAAGUAAGAUUUUUUCUUCAAUAUUCAUCAUCUUUUUUUUUAAAUUAACUCACAGUUACCAUGACAAAUCCAACUUACCAGAAUUCCAAACAAUUUGGAUUAAUAUUCUAUUUCCUCAUUUUCUUUCAAAAUAGAAAUAUCCCUUUGAUGCUGAAUUAAUGUAUAACGAUGACGUGGUCAUUUUUUUCACUUCAAAUAAAUGGAAGUAAUAGUGUGGUUUGCUACAUAUUGAAUGCUCUCUCUGAUAAGAACAUCCUAUAUGUUCCUCAUGCACGUGCCAAAAGGCUUAAUUGCCUUUGCAGAUGGACGCGUGCCUUGGUGAAGCAGUUGUGUAAAAAGAUGCUGAAGUAAGUUUCAGAAAUCCCUUUAUGGGCUUUUUAGUGGGAUGUUAGCAUGAAAAGGCAGAUAGAUACACUUAGUUAUUAACUACCAUAGGGAUACAGACAUUUCCCUUGGCUCAGGAAUUACAUGACUGCUUUUGAAAUUGUGUUUUUAAAGGAUGGAACAUAUUUUUGUUCCUGUGAACCAUGGACUGGAGCUUUAGCCAAUCAUAGGAAGGAACAGACUGUAGGGCAAAAGGAAGUAUUUGUUCCGAUAUUAGAGUCCGUGGCCUCUCGCCAUCUUUGAUAAAGGAUUGAAGUGUUGUGUGCCCAGAGUCUGCUACCCUCCUGACCCUUCAUCAGUCAGCAGCCGGACUGGGAGCUUAAGUGAACUGUAGCUUAGUAGGAUAACUAUUGUUCAAGCAUGUGUAACUCUCGAAAACGGAAAUUACUGGCACAGCAGCCUUGCAAUGUGAUGUCUUUCUAGUUUUAAGAUUCUAGACAUAUGUUUCCUUUCUGUUGCUGAUCUUUGCCAAUUAAAGAUAUACAAUAAUAAUGUGUAAGAUAUACAAUAAUAAUUGAAGUUGGGCUAUGCAGAUGGGUGACACUGAGACUGUUGGGAGUUUCUUUUUAAAAAUAACGUGUAUAGACAUAAAUGACCUAGCACAUGGGAUUUCAAGAAUUUCACUUGGUGAUCCUAUUGGUAUUUUUAUUGUCUUAAAGCCACUAGGGUGCUUUGCACCUUUUGCAUGCUCCUCCUCCACUAAUAAUGUAUUAAUUACUGAAAGCAUAUUUUUGUCCAUGUGUUUUCUAAGUAACUGAUGGCACAUAUAAAUUCUUUCAUCACAUAUCUUAAUUUUUUUUUUCUGACUAGCUCAGGAAAACCUUUAAGAGCUGUGUCCAGUAUUCCCAGCUUUAUGUCAUCUAAUCUCUAUAUUUAUGCCACAUUCUUAAAACAAGUAGAGUAAUAUAUCAGUUGCAGCUGUUGCUGGCCAAAGCUGUCACAGAAGUGGGUGGAAGAAGAAUCAGAGAUGCUGUGUUCAGGUUCUGUGUUUCAAAAGCAUAUCUGUUGCAGUCAAUCUGGGGUGAUAACAACUGGCUUGUAGAAAGCAGAUAAAGCCAGAUAUUUGUCUUAUCUUUAACCAAAUGUACAGUAGCUUGGAUGCCAUAGUGAUAAAUAUUGCUGAUAGUUUUUUAUUAAACUACUUGAGAUUGUCUGGCUUUGACAAUAAGAAAUACUCAUUAAUGUGUAGCAUUCAUGACUUUUGGCUGCAGCCUUUCUGUGAAGUUAUUAAUAUAAAGCUUAACUUUUAAUAGCAUGCAAAGUUUAAAAAGAGGACAAAUGAAAAUACAUAAUAGCAAAAGAGUAAAAUGUUUGUUUUCUGAUAUAGGUGGGCAGUGAUGCUUUCUAAUUCAAUGUAUUUUUCUUCAACUAAAUAUUCACACGAAGGCACAUAUCCAGUUGCUUAUUAGAAGAAUACUAAAACCACACUAUCUAAAGCUGGUUAGGAAUACCAGACUUAGUAUACCCCUCUGUAAGAUUUCUCAUAACCUCACCUUUCCCCAUCUUCCAUUCUUCCCAUUUUCCAGUUUAGCAUGCGAGCAGAGAAGAGAACUAAAGGUCUCCAUCAAAAAAAUUUUAGCUAAGGGAUUUCCUGUUGUGGCUCAGUGGAAACGAGUCCAACUAGUAUCCAUGAGGAUGCAGGUUUGAUCCCUGGCCUCACUCAGUGGGUUGGGCAUCUGGCAUUGCUGUGAGCUGUGGUGUAGGUUGCAGAUGUGGCUCGGACCCUGAGUAGCUGUGGCUGUGAUGUAGGCCAGCAGCUGUAGCUCAGAUUUGACCUCUAGCCUGGGAACCUACAUAUGCCGCAAGUGCAGCCUUAAAAAGCAUAACAAAAAAACAACAACAAAAAAAACAUAGCCAAAACUAAAUAUAGAACUACCAUAUCAUCCAACAAUCCCACUCCUGGGCUAUGUCCAGACAAAACUUUCAUUCCAAAAGAUACAUGCACCCCUAUGUUUAUUGCAGCGCUGUUCAUAAUAGCCAAGACAUGGAAAUAAGUAAAUGCCCAUCGAGAGAUGAAUGGAUUAAGAAGAUGUGGUGCAAACACAGUGGAGUAUGACUCAGGCAUAAAAAGAACAAAAUAGUGCCAUUUGAAGCAGCAUGAAUGGAACUAGAGAUGCUCAUACUAAGUGAAGUAAGUCAGAAAGAGAAAGACAAAUACCAUAUGAUAUCACUUAUAUGUGGAAUCUAAAAUAUGGCACUGAAGAACCUCUCUACAGAACAGAAACAGACUCACAGACAUGGAGAGCAGACUUGUGAUUGCCAAGAGGGAGAGGGAGGGAGUGGGUUGGAGGGAGUUUGAGGUUAAUAGAUGCAAACUAUUACUUUUAGAAUGGAUAAGCAAUGAGGUCCUGUUGUGUAACACAGGGAACUAUAUCCAAUCACUUGUGAUAGAACAUGAUAGAAGAUAAUAUGAGAAAAAGAACGUAUGUAUAACUGGGUCACUUUGCUGUGCAGCAGAAAUUGACAAUAUUGUAAAUCAACUAUAAUAAAGAAUUUAAAUUUUUUUAAAAUUAUAGCCAGAUUUUUCUUUUUUUACACUCUUUAUAGAGACAUUUCAAGGAAAAGAGAAACUAUUUUUUAGCAGCUAGAAAGGGAUAAUUAGGCAUGUUGGGCUGCAUCUCCUUGUACCUUAACCCUGUUGGGGUAAAAUGAAAUUCUGAUUUGGUCAAGUCAGUUAAGGGAGAUACUUACCUUAAAGACAGAAAGAAAGGAGUUCCUGUCAUGGCUCAGCGGUAACGAACCUGACUAGGAUCCAUGAGGACUUGGGUUCGAUCCUUGCCCUCGCCUGGUGGGUUAAGAAUCUGGUGUUGCCAUGAACUGUGGUGUAGGUCUCAGACAUGGCUUAGAUCUUGCGUUGUGGUGGUUGUGGUCUAGGCCGGUAGCUGUAGCUCCGAUUUGACCCCAGCCUGGGAACUUACAUAUGUCAAAGCUGAGG